RNAcentral lists this transfer RNA (64 nucleotides) under Orthotrichia sp. XG-2021. RNAcentral's name for it is "tRNA-Gly". It matches the Rfam family "tRNA". Rfam says of the family: Transfer RNA (tRNA) molecules are approximately 80 nucleotides in length. Their secondary structure includes four short double-helical elements and three loops (D, anti-codon, and T loops). The record is from RNAcentral. Lineage: Eukaryota; Metazoa; Arthropoda; Insecta; Trichoptera; Hydroptilidae.
AUUUAUAUAGUAUAAUAAGUACAUUUAACUUCCAAUUAAAAGGUUUAAUUAAUUAAUAUAAAUA